UGGGGAAUUUUACACAAUGGGGGAAACCCUGAUGUAGCAACGCCGCGUGGAGGAUGACGGAUUUAGGUCUGUAAACUCCUUUUAUAAGGGAAGAAAUUUGACGGUACCUUAUGAAUAAGCACCGGCUAACUCCGUGCCAGCAGCCGCGGUAAUACGGGGGGUGCAAGCGUUACUCGGAAUCACUGGGCGUAAAGGGAGCGUAGGCGUUUUAUUAAGUCUUGAGUGAAAGCUCGCAGCUCAACUGCGGAACUGCUCAGGAAACUGAUAGAAUUGGGUAUGGAAGAGGUAGGUGGAAUUUUCGGUGUAGGGGUAAAUCCGUAGAUAUCGGAAGGAAUACCAGAAGCGAAGGCGACCUACUGGGACAUUACUGACGCUGAGGCUCGAAAGCGUGGGGAGCAAACA
This 402-nucleotide ribosomal RNA is filed under the name uncultured bacterium. Its description in RNAcentral is "bacterial SSU rRNA". It matches the Rfam family "Bacterial small subunit ribosomal RNA", at positions 355 to 774 of the family's 1533-position model. The record is from RNAcentral.